Molecule: ribosomal RNA, 390 nt
Filed under: uncultured bacterium
Lineage: Bacteria
Description: bacterial SSU rRNA
Rfam family: Bacterial small subunit ribosomal RNA
Source: RNAcentral
CCCCGCAAGGGGAGUGGCAGACGGGUGAGUAACGCGUGGGAAUCUACCCAGAACUUCGGAACAACUGAGGGAAACUUCAGCUAAUACCGGAUACGCCCUACGGGGGAAAGAUUUAUCGGUUUUGGAUGAGCCCGCGUUGGAUUAGCUAGUUGGUGAGGUAAUGGCUCACCAAGGCGACGAUCCAUAGCUGGUCUGAGAGGAUGAUCAGCCACACUGGGACUGAGACACGGCCCAGACUCCUACGGGAGGCAGCAGUGGGGAAUAUUGGACAAUGGGCGAAAGCCUGAUCCAGCCAUGCCGCGUGAGUGAUGAAGGCCUUAGGGUUGUAAAGCUCUUUCAGUAGGGAAGAUAAUGACGGUACCCUUGGAGGAAGCCCCGGCUAACUACGUG